CAGCCGCGCGGUAAUACGUAGGUGGCAAGCGUUGUCCGGAAUUAUUGGGCGUAAAGGGCUCGCAGGCGGUUUCUUAAGUCUGAUGUGAAAGCCCCCGGCUCAACCGGGGAGGGUCAUUGGAAACUGGGAAACUUGAGUGCAGAAGAGGAGAGUGGAAUUCCACGUGUAGCGGUGAAAUGCGUAGAGAUGUGGAGGAACACCAGUGGCGAAGGCGACUCUCUGGUCUGUAACUGACGCUGAGGAGCGAGAGCGUGGGGAGCGAACAGGAUUAGAUACCCCGGUAGUCCCUGUCUCUUAUACA
RNAcentral lists this ribosomal RNA (301 nucleotides) under uncultured bacterium. Its description in RNAcentral is "partial 16S ribosomal RNA". It matches the Rfam family "Bacterial small subunit ribosomal RNA", at positions 509 to 808 of the family's 1533-position model. The record is from RNAcentral.